GCGCAGCAGACCACUCAGGAUAUGGCUCCUGGAUGAUGUGACUUGAUAUGACUCGAUGGAACUGUAUGGCAGCCAUACUCGACCAUCGAUUGCUCGAUCGAUAUCGAUAAUCAGGUCAGCUGAAUGAGCCCGUCGAGUGCUGCUACCCAGUCGUCAAUCCAGAUCAGCUUCUAACCGGAAUAAGAUGAAAGAGAUCGGAAGCAAACCGAGAUGAGCUUUCUGCUUACUACCAGUUCUGGAUAGUCGAUUAGUAG
RNAcentral lists this long non-coding RNA (254 nucleotides) under Elaeis guineensis (African oil palm). RNAcentral's name for it is "long non-coding RNA (EGUI_LNC025277)". The record is from RNAcentral. Lineage: Eukaryota; Viridiplantae; Streptophyta; Magnoliopsida; Arecales; Arecaceae.